CGCGUAGGCGGUUUACACAGUCAGAUGUGAAAUUCCAGGGCUUAACCUUGGGGCUGCAUUUGAUACGUGUAGACUAGAGUGUGAGAGAGGGUUGUGGAAUUCCCAGUGUAGAGGUGAAAUUCGUAGAUAUUGGGAAGAACACCGGUGGCGAAGGCGGCAACCUGGCUCAUUACUGACGCUGAGGCGCGAAAGCGUGGGGAGCAAACAGGAUUAGAUACCCCCGUA
Molecule: ribosomal RNA, 225 nt
Filed under: uncultured Asaia sp.
Lineage: Bacteria; Pseudomonadati; Pseudomonadota; Alphaproteobacteria; Acetobacterales; Acetobacteraceae
Description: partial 16S ribosomal RNA
Rfam family: Bacterial small subunit ribosomal RNA
Source: RNAcentral